RNAcentral lists this transfer-messenger RNA (365 nucleotides) under Mycoplasmoidaceae. RNAcentral's name for it is "Ureaplasma intestinipullorum Standard tmRNA". It matches the Rfam family "transfer-messenger RNA". Rfam says of the family: Bacterial tmRNA, also known as 10Sa RNA or SsrA, is named for its dual tRNA and mRNA-like properties. The record is from RNAcentral. RNAcentral also lists the same sequence under 1 other name. Lineage: Bacteria; Bacillati; Mycoplasmatota; Mycoplasmoidales.
GGGGGUGUCACGGGUUCGACAGGAUAUAUAAGCAAUUAAAUGCAGUGGGGUCUGCCCCUUACAGCUCGAGGUCUAAUAAAUGCAGACAAAAAUGAAAACAACAAUGUUGAAGUUAAUGCUUUUGAAGCAAGUUUAUUCAACAAACAACAAUUAGUCUCUUUAGCUUACUAAUUUUUGUUAAUAAUUUUUAGCUAAAUAUUUUUCUAGUUUUUUAGAAUAAAAAAUUAAAAAUUCUUGUCUAAAAUAAUAGUUUUUGUUGCUUUUUAUAAUUUUAGAAGAAUUUAAAGGAUAAAAAAGUAAAUAAACUGUAGAUUUUAAUUGUGAGUAUAUUUUGGAAAGGGGUUCAACUCCCCUCAUCUCCACCA